This 262-nucleotide ribosomal RNA is filed under the name uncultured archaeon. RNAcentral's name for it is "partial 16S ribosomal RNA". It matches the Rfam family "Archaeal small subunit ribosomal RNA", at positions 748 to 1009 of the family's 1478-position model. The record is from RNAcentral.
UAGCCGUAAACGAUACUCGCUAGGUGUCGGCCACGAUGCGACCGUUGUCGGUGCCGUAGGGAAGCCGUGAAGCGAGCCACCUGGGAAGUACGGCCGCAAGGCUGAAACUUAAAGGAAUUGGCGGGGGGAGCACAACAACGGGUGGAGCUUGCGGUUUAAUUGGAUUCAACGCCGGAAAUCUUACCGGGACCGACAGCAACAUGAAGGCCAAGCUGAAGACUUUGCCGGAUUAGCUGAGAGGUGGUGCAUGGCGUAGUCGUGU